This 4161-nucleotide long non-coding RNA is filed under the name Sus scrofa (pig). RNAcentral's name for it is "lncRNA (ENSSSCG00065066282.1)". The record is from RNAcentral. Lineage: Eukaryota; Metazoa; Chordata; Mammalia; Artiodactyla; Suidae.
GAUUCAGAAAAUGGUCUCGUACAGAAGCAGCGAAUACCUCGCCGAAGAUGUCAGCAGCCCAAAAUGUUGAGUAGCCCUGAGGACACCAUGUACUAUAACCAGUUAAAUGGAACUCUAGAAUAUCAAGGGAGCAAGAGGAAGCCAAGAAAACUUGGGUAAAUAUCUGUCUUCUUAGUUCUAAGCAACUGUAAACAGAAGGGGUCCUUUGUGAUAUUACAGAAAAUGCCAAACUUUCCAGAGAGGCUUCUAAAAAUAUGCAAUGGGGAUAUCACACUAUUGACACUGGAAACUACUUUUCACAGUAGCAAGUAUUUACAAGACUCGAAUCUAUUCUGUCUGAAAAGACUGAAAUUGCCACCAAAAGGCAAAUGUUAUUUCUCAUAACUAUCCCAGGGAAUUGUACCUUCCUCAUAAUUCGAGACAUGUAUUGGGCUGUGUAAAACUCUCCCACAAAUGAGAGCACUCCAUGCAAUGCAAAUAGGUCACUUCCUCCACACUUCCCUGCCCCUGGGCCUUGGAGGUACACAAAGGAAGAUUUCCCAGAAUGGUUAGCCAGAGGACACCGAGGAGUUUGUGGCUGACUUGAUUGUUAGUAUCUGGAUUGAGAAUGGCAGCGAGGUAGGUAAUGGGUACUAGUUUGAGAACUAGAGGAGGUCAGGAGGGAAACUUCUGAGUAUUUACAGGGAACCAGACAAGUUAAGUCACAUAAAUCAAAUUGCAAUAUAAUCACAACAUCCAGACACCACUAGGUUGGGUCCAUUAUUCGUGUAUGACCCAGAGGUGAAAGUCUUUGUGGAUCAGACCCAGUUCCUAAGUGCUAGGAAGCCCCGAGCUAGCCUAAGCUGCCCCCGACCCAGUGUUGUGACCCAACCUGGUUCCAGGUACUCACAUAACUUGAGCUGCCCCAUUGAUAACUGGUGCCUUUGUUUUCUUCUCCUGCUGAAACUCUUUCCUUUGUUGCAGCCAAAUCAAAGUGCUUGAUGGGGAAGAUGAAUAUUACAAAUCUCUGUCACCUGUGGACUCUAUCCCUGAGGAAGACAGCUCAGCCCACCCUUUCUUUUUUUCUUUAUCCUCCAAAGGAGCAUCUUUUGCUCAGCCCUGAGCUGUACGUCCUGCCCCCGCCCCCCCCCCCAGGUCCUGGUGAGGGUAAGAACUGUCGUGGUAACUCCCUGAUGGUCAUUUAAUCAGAAAGCAGGGCAGUGGGAUCAGCUUCUUUGGUCGUGUGGUCUGUGCCAGAGCCUUUCUGAACAAUUUUCACAUUCUGAACCAUUUUUUCGUGCCUCCAUCACCCUCCCCACAUCUGCUUUGUAACCUGAGCUGUGCAACCCCUACUUUUCUCAUUCCACGGGUCCCUGUGGGGCACUGAGCACACCUCCACUAUAGCAGUGACAGUCAUUCAUGCCCCAGCGGCUAAGAGGGAAACACUCUCACUUAGGAACACAUAAGACAGCUUUCUUCUUCGUACCAUGUAGGUUCCACACAGAAUCUGCCCCUGUGAAAAUCCAGGAGUCCCUUGCCUCCUCGCCUCUCCUCUGCAUCCCCUUCACCUUUGCUGGUCUUUUACAGCCCUCCCACCUCUCCCCGGGGUCAGGGCUCCCCUGCUGAGGACCACCAUCCCGCCAUCCCGGAGGCGUACCCUCAAAGUCUCUGAGGCCAGGAUAAUUUUUGAUGCUGAGGGGGAGAAGCCCGAAUCUUUCAGGUUCUUCCUAUAAGGCAAAUGAACCCCUCUCUUGCUAAUUAUUAUGCUAGUAAAGCCUUUGUCUCUUUAUUCCAUCUUACCAUCUCACCCCCCAUCACCUUCGCAGUAAAAAGAAAGGAGUGAGACAGAAAGAAAAUGUGGCCCUGCCAGAGUCCAUGUCACAUUGCUUUGUAACUUUGCAUUCCCUGGUCGGCUGUCUCCAUGAGGCUGUGAGUGCCUGGAGGGAAAGCAUCUUAUAUGCACAGAGCCAGCCCAGUGCCUGGCAGGGGGUGGACAUCCAAUGAACGCCCACCCUUCAAUGAGUGGAGAGACUUAGUUGCACAAAUAUAUCUGACAAGAAUUGUAUGUGAUGCAGGAUUGCUCACUUUCCUUACACCAUAAGCUCUGAUUUUUCAUUGAAGGUUGGGCUAGUCCUAUUGUAAUGAUGUUAUCCCUUAUAUUGUAUUACUCAAUAUGAUUUAAUACAAGCCUUUUUUUGAGUAACUGCUCUGCAGAAUGGCAUGUGAAAUUGUCGUAUAAGGUCAAAACCUAACGAGACUCUCUCUCUAGAAAAGAUGUUCUUAAUAUUCUUUUUACUUUAAACUAUUUGGCAGCUAUGCACAUGGGAGUAUCCAGAUCUUGAGAAAAAUAAACUUGAGGAAGUAGAAAAAAAUUACCAGAAUUUUAAAGGGGAGAGUUCUAACAAGCAUUUUACAAGUGUAAGCAAUGAAAUGAAGCAUUUAAAGAUCUGCGAAAUUAUUAUAAGAAAGAAGUGUAGAGAGCCAGUUGUUCAGUAAACUUUACUUUUUAAAAAAUCAGUCUUGAUUUAUUUUCCAGAUCUUCACCCCAAAGGUAGUAUUCAUGAAGUAUGCAAAUAGAGCAGAAGAAACACCAAUGAAUUUAUUGUUUAAAAAAGUAGCACCUAGAAUAUGUAGAUUUUUAAUGUUUCUAUUGAUAUAAGUGGUUUGGGGAAUUUCACUUUUAGCAUUGAUUCAUCUACUUUUGAUUUGAUAAUAUUAGCUUUUUAAACUGUUGAAUAUUAAGUGUUUGUAACUUCCCACUUGUCUGUGUACAAUGUAAUUUUAUACCUGCCUUCUUUCUAAUUAAACCAUAUCUAUAAAUAAAGUUGAAAAGUAAAUAGAAGUAAUUAUAAAAUCGCAGUUCAGAAGCUCUGUAAUUACUGGUCACUGCCAUAGCUAUGGCUCCUAACAGUACUUUAGAAGCUGAAGCAUAGAUAGGACAGACGGUGCAUAUUAUUCUUUGAUUAGUCAUAAUGCUAUAAACUCAAAGAGCACUUCCUAAAUCAGUAGAUGAGAAGGAUGCAACCUGGAAUCUCAUAAAUAUCCUACUAGAUGUAUCAAGAUAAUAUGCACAUGGCAAAAACAAAACAAAAAUCUAAUAGUCUGGAGGGUUGGUAGUGGGAAGCAGCCUUGUUCUCUGUGCUCCAAACUUCAUCCCUUUCCCAGAAGCCAUCUUUUCUUUUAUUAUUUCUAAUUUUCUAAAUUUUAUUGAAGUAUAAUUGAUUUACAAUGUUGUGAUCGUUUCUGCUGUACAGCAAAGUGACUCAGUUACACAUAUAUAUACAUCCUUUCUCAUAUUCUUUUCCAUUAUGCUUUGUCACAGGAUAUUGACUAUAGUCCCCUCUACUCUAUGGUAGGACUUUUUGUUUAUUCAAAUCCCAUAUAUAAUAGUUUGCAUCUGCUAAUCCCAAACUCCCAAUCCUUCCCUCCCCCAUCUAAUUCCUUUUAUGGUUUUCAUUAUGUCUCUGAAUAAUUUGAUUCUAUGUGCUUGAUUUAUUGUUUUAGACAAAAUCUACUCCCCUCCUUUAUGAAAGAUGUGCAUUUAUCUCAGUUUCUCCUCCCCUCUCUCUUACUUCUUCAAUGCUUACAAUUUUGUGUUUAAAUUUUUUGUUACCUUUUAGACAAUACAUUAUGUAAUUAAACGUCUAUAUUUGUGCCAUUGACUUUAGAUAGUAUCUCUAUGAGGGAUACCUCAUAUGAAGAAAACCAGCAUGCUGAAGGGUAAUGUCAAGAGCAAUGGAAUAACAUCCCUGGACAAAAUAGGAGUAAUUCUGAGAAUAGAACAGGUUUUCUUUAAAACUUCAUUGUAAACCAUUGGUGUUCAUGUUCUAAGCUGCUGUUUCUUCCUCCAUUUUGGUUCAUCUGCAGAUAUGCUUCCAUCCAUUUUUUUUAAAACUUAAUUUUUUAAAUAUAAUGCAUAUACAGAAAAGGGCACAAAUCAGAAGACUCAGUUCAAUAAGGUAUCAGAAAGUAUCUCUAAGGAGUUCCCAUCGUGGCUCAAUGGUUAGCGAAUCUGACUAGCAUCCAUGAGGACGCAGGUUUGAUCCCUGGCCUCUCUCAGUGGGUUAAGGAUCUCAGAUGUGGCUCAGACGUGGCGUUGCUGUGGCUAUGGUGUAGUCUGGCAGCUAUAGAUCCUAUUCGACUCCUAGCCUGGGAAUCUCCAUAUGCCUCGGGUGUGGCCCU